AGUCGAGCGGUAGAAAGUAGCUUGCUACUUUUGAGAGCGGCGGACGGGUGAGUAAUGCGUGGGAAUCGACCUGGUAGUGGGGGNCAACAGUUGGAAACGACUGCUAAUACCGCAUACGCCCUACGGGGGAAAGCGGGGGAUCUUCGGACCUCGUGCUAUCAGAUGAGCCCGCGUGAGAUUAGCUUGUUGGUGGGGUAAUGGCCUACCAAGGCGACGAUCUCUAGCUGGUCUGAGAGGAUGAUCAGCCACACUGGGACUGAGACACGGCCCAGACUCCUACGGGAGGCAGCAGUGGGGAAUAUUGGACAAUGGGCGCAAGCCUGAUCCAGCCAUGCCGCGUGUGUGAAGAAGGCCUUCGGGUUGUAAAGCACUUUUAGCGAGGAGGAAAGGUUAAGUGUUAAUAGCACUUAGCUGUGACGUUACUCGCAGAAGAAGCACC
This 439-nucleotide ribosomal RNA is filed under the name uncultured Gammaproteobacteria bacterium. RNAcentral's name for it is "bacterial SSU rRNA". It matches the Rfam family "Bacterial small subunit ribosomal RNA", at positions 60 to 494 of the family's 1533-position model. The record is from RNAcentral. Lineage: Bacteria; Pseudomonadati; Pseudomonadota; Gammaproteobacteria.